AGUCGUAACAAGGUUUCCGUAGGUGAACCUGCGGAAGGAUCAUUAACACGUAUCCAACGUUAAAACCCCCCGUGAACAUUCAGUCCUGCUCUUGUAACCCGCGUAGUUCGCAAUCUCUGGUAAAUCAUAGCCCGGAAAGUUGUUUGAUUCAGAGACCUCUGGCUACGUGAGAACAAUGGAUAUCUUGGUUCUC
Molecule: unclassified non-coding RNA, 193 nt
Filed under: fungal sp.
Lineage: Eukaryota; Fungi
Description: partial internal transcribed spacer region
Rfam family: Eukaryotic small subunit ribosomal RNA (bases 1-45)
Source: RNAcentral